AUUGAACGCUGGCGGCAGGCUUAACACAUGCAAGUCGAACGGUAGCAGGAGAAAGCUUGCUUUCUUGCUGACGAGUGGCGGACGGGUGAGUAAUGCUUGGGAAUCUGGCUUAUGGAGGGGGAUAACUACGGGAAACUGUAGCUAAUACCGCGUAGAAUCGGAAGAUGAAAGUGCGGGACCGCAAGGCCGCAUGCCAUAGGAUGAGCCCAAGUGGGAUUAGGUAGUUGGUGGGGUAAAGGCCUACCAAGCCUGCGAUCUCUAGCUGGUCUGAGAGGAUGGCCAGCCACACUGGAACUGAGACACGGUCCAGACUCCUACGGGAGGCAGCAGUGGGGAAUAUUGCGCAAUGGGGGGAACCCUGACGCAGCCAUGCCGCGUGAAUGAAGAAGGCCUUCGGGUUGUAAAGUUCUUUCGGUAUUGAGGAAGGUUGAUGUGUUAAUAGUACAUCAAAUUGACGUUAAAUACAGAAGAAGCACCGGCUAACUCCGUGCCAGCAGCCGCGGUAAUACGGAGGGUGCGAGCGUUAAUCGGAAUAACUGGGCGUAAAGGGCACGCAGGCGGUUAUUUAAGUGAGGUGUGAAAGCCCCGGGCUUAACCUGGGAAUUGCAUUUCAGACUGGGUAACUAGAGUACUUUAGGGAGGGGUAGAAUUCCACGUGUAGCGGUGAAAUGCGUAGAGAUGUGGAGGAAUACCGAAGGCGAAGGCAGCCCCUUGGGAAUGUACUGACGCUCAUGUGCGAAAGCGUGGGGAGCAAACAGG
Molecule: ribosomal RNA, 759 nt
Filed under: Haemophilus influenzae
Lineage: Bacteria; Pseudomonadati; Pseudomonadota; Gammaproteobacteria; Pasteurellales; Pasteurellaceae
Description: bacterial SSU rRNA
Rfam family: Bacterial small subunit ribosomal RNA
Source: RNAcentral